Molecule: unclassified non-coding RNA, 253 nt
Filed under: uncultured bacterium
Lineage: Bacteria
Description: contains 16S-23S intergenic spacer region
Rfam family: Bacterial small subunit ribosomal RNA
Source: RNAcentral
UACCUGCAGCCCGAGUGGUGACCGUUUUUACUGGGCGUAAAGCGUGCGUAGGCGGCUUUUUAAGUCGGAUGUGAAAUCCCCGAGCUUAACUUGGGAAUUGCAUUCGAUACUGGGAAGCUAGAGUAUGGGAGAGGAUGGUAGAAUUCCAGGUGUAGCGGUGAAAUGCGUAGAGAUCUGGAGGAAUACCGAUGGCGAAGGCAGCCAUCUGGCCUAAUACUGACGCUGAGGUACGAAAGCAUGGGGAGCAAACAGG